UACGGGGGGGGCAAGCGUUGUUCGGAAUUACUGGGCGUAAAGGGCUCGUAGGUGGCCAACUAAGUCAGACGUGAAAUCCCUCGGCUUAACCGGGGAACUGCGUCUGAUACUGGAUGGCUUGAGUUCGGGAGAGGGAUGCGGAAUUCCAGGUGUAGCGGUGAAAUGCGUAGAUAUCGGCAGGAACACCAAGGACGAAGGUAACCACCUGGGCAUCAGCUGACACUCAUGUGCGACAGCGUGGGGAGCGAACCGG
This 253-nucleotide ribosomal RNA is filed under the name uncultured bacterium. RNAcentral describes it as "partial 16S ribosomal RNA". It matches the Rfam family "Bacterial small subunit ribosomal RNA", at positions 524 to 776 of the family's 1533-position model. The record is from RNAcentral.